AUGUCGUGGAAUGUCCGCGGCCUCAACCAGCCGGCAAAACGAGCGGCAAUCUGCGAGGUAGUCACCGCCAGCAAAGUAGCGACCCUGUGCUUGUAGGAAACCAAGAUCGACAUUUCGACCCCAACCAUCGUCAGAGAAAUUGGGGGCACUGCCCUUACUGAAUGCAUAGUCCUCCCCGCAAUCGGCUCCCGCGGUGGCGCAACCAUUUUCUGGAGCAGAGACCUGGCCACCAUCGCCUCUCACGCUGUAGGCGAAUUCGCGAUCACUGCAAAGGUGACGCUCCUCCAACAAUCCUCGAGCUUCUGGCUAACGACUGUCUACGAACCAACUGAAGACAGUAGAAAAGCUGAUUUCCUCGACGAGUUAGCUAGGGUGCCCUCCUCCUUCUGA
RNAcentral lists this ribosomal RNA (390 nucleotides) under Triticum aestivum (bread wheat). RNAcentral describes it as "partial small subunit ribosomal RNA". The record is from RNAcentral. Lineage: Eukaryota; Viridiplantae; Streptophyta; Magnoliopsida; Poales; Poaceae.